AUUUUUAUUUUUAUUUUAUUUUCAAUAAACAGACGUUCCUUUCUUUUUGUUUGCUUAUUCAGUUUGGAUUCGAUUAAUAAAAUUCAAAUUUUCAAAAUUCAUGCGAGGGACGCUACAACUCAACUUCUUCAUCAUUUCAUUCAUUUUUUUCUUGCUUUGCUAAUUAAUAUCAUUUCAAAUUCAAAAUCAAUACAAUUCUCAUGCCCCAACCCGGCCCGUUUUAUAAUCGCCUUAUUUAUUUAUUUUGGCUGA
Non-coding RNA from Vicia faba (fava bean), 252 nucleotides. Lineage: Eukaryota; Viridiplantae; Streptophyta; Magnoliopsida; Fabales; Fabaceae. The record is from the annotation of a GenBank genome assembly.